UCUUCUGAAUUUUCUGAAGUCCUUUCACAUUGCUUUUGUCUCCUUGGGUGGCACCUGGUCUUGCCUUUUGCUCCAGCAUCGUAAUUUCUCCCACUCACCAUGUGGAUGAUUGUGAUCAGGUAAAGGUUUGCUACUCUUUUCCCACAGAGUCAUCAGUGGCAGUGUUCAUUUGGCUAUGGGUGUACGGAAUGACAAAAGAAUGUAGAAGAGGCUUUCCUCUGAUAAAAUCACCAGGUUCCAGAUGUCAUCAGGAUGCCGGCCAGGCUUCCCUGGACUGAAGACCCCACCAAUGUGUCCUGGAGCUCUGCUUCCCCAGAGACCCACCCUACUAGGGAAAGAGAGAGGCAGACUGGGAGUAUGGACUGACCAGUCAACGCACAUGUUCAGCAGGGAAGCAAUUACAGAAGCCAGACCUUCUACCUUCUGCAACCCACAACCACCCUGGGUCCAUGCUCCCAGAGGGAUAGAGAAUGGGAAAGCUAUCAGGGGAGGGGGUGGGAUAUGGAUAUUGGGUGGUGGGAAUUGUGUGGAAUUGUACCCCUCCUACCCUAUGGUUUUGUUAAUUAAUAAUUUCUUAAAUAAAAAAAUAAAAUAAAAAAAAACCUUUCCCAUGGAGACCUCUGUUUCCUCCAAUGUACAUAUGUGUAUCUUCUCUAGUAAAAUCCAACUCUGUGAUAGCAGAGAUUUCAUCA
This is a long non-coding RNA of Erinaceus europaeus (western European hedgehog), 692 nucleotides long. RefSeq lists it as uncharacterized. NCBI's taxonomy places the organism in Eukaryota, Metazoa, Chordata, Mammalia, Eulipotyphla, Erinaceidae. The transcript has 3 exons. The record is from RefSeq and is a predicted model, not a curated record.